UUUAUGGAGAGUUUGAUCCUGGCUCAGGAUGAACGCUGGCGGCGUGCCUAAUACAUGCAAGUCGAGCGAACAGA
This 74-nucleotide ribosomal RNA is filed under the name Staphylococcus epidermidis. Its description in RNAcentral is "partial 16S ribosomal RNA". It matches the Rfam family "Bacterial small subunit ribosomal RNA", at positions 1 to 74 of the family's 1533-position model. The record is from RNAcentral. Lineage: Bacteria; Bacillati; Bacillota; Bacilli; Caryophanales; Staphylococcaceae. RNAcentral also lists the same sequence under 10 other names.